ACCAGACUCCUACGGGAGGCAGCAGUGGGGAAUAUUGCGCAAUGGGCGAAAGCCUGACGCAACGACGCCGCGUGAGCGAUGAAGUAUUUCGGUAUGUAAAGCUCUAUCAGCAGGGAAGAAAAUGACGGUACCUGACUAAGAAGCCCCGGCUAACUACGUGCCAGCAGCCGCGGUAAUACGUAGGGGGCAAGCGUUAUCCGGAUUUACUGGGUGUAAAGGGAGCGUAGACGGCUGUGCAAGCCAGAUGUGAAAGCCCGGGGCUCAACCCCGGGACUGCAUUUGGAACUGCGUGGCUUGAGCGUCGGAGAGGCAGGCGGAAUUCCUAGUGUAGCGGUGAAAUGCGUAGAUAUUAGGAGGAACACCAGUGGCGAAGGCGGCCUGCUGGACGAUGACUGACGUUGAGGCUCGAAAGCGUGGGGAGCAAACAGGAUUAGAUACCCCAGUA
This 445-nucleotide ribosomal RNA is filed under the name uncultured bacterium. Its description in RNAcentral is "bacterial SSU rRNA". It matches the Rfam family "Bacterial small subunit ribosomal RNA", at positions 330 to 792 of the family's 1533-position model. The record is from RNAcentral.